UUUAAUAUAGUGUAAAAGCACGAUACAUUUUGGUUGUGUAAGAAGUUAGUAACUUAUUAUUU
RNAcentral lists this transfer RNA (62 nucleotides) under Rhinebothroides sp. MZUSP 8020. RNAcentral describes it as "tRNA-Gln". Lineage: Eukaryota; Metazoa; Platyhelminthes; Cestoda; Rhinebothriidea; Rhinebothriidae. RNAcentral also lists the same sequence under 2 other names. The record is from RNAcentral.